This 496-nucleotide ribosomal RNA is filed under the name uncultured bacterium. Its description in RNAcentral is "partial 16S ribosomal RNA". It matches the Rfam family "Bacterial small subunit ribosomal RNA", at positions 29 to 507 of the family's 1533-position model. The record is from RNAcentral.
AUGCACGCUGGCGGCGUGCCUAAUACAUGCAAGUCGAGCGAACAGACGAGGAGCUUGCUCCUCUGACGUUAGCGGCGGACGGGUGAGUAACACGUGGAUAACCUACCUAUAAGACUGGGAUAACUUCGGGAAACCGGAGCUAAUUCCGGAUAAUAUAUUGAACCGCAUGGUUCAAUAGUGAAAGACGGUUUUGCUGCCACUUAUAGAUGGAUCCGCGCCGCAUUAGCUAGUUGGUAAGGUAACGGCUUACCGAGGCGACGAUGCGUAGCCGACCUGAGAGGGUGAUCGGCCACACUGGAGCUGAGACACGGUCCAGACUCCUGCGGGAGGCAGCAGUAGGGAAUCUUCCGCAAUGGGCGAAAGCCUGACGGAGCAACGCCGCGUGAGUGAUGAAGGUCUUCGGAUCGUAAAACUCUGUUAUUAGGGAAGAACAAAUGUGUAAGUAACUAUGCACGUCUUGACGGUACCUAAUCAGAAAGCCACGGCUAACUACGUG